This is a non-coding RNA of Xyrichtys novacula (pearly razorfish), 1408 nucleotides long. The record is from the annotation of a GenBank genome assembly. NCBI's taxonomy places the organism in Eukaryota, Metazoa, Chordata, Actinopteri, Labriformes, Labridae.
CUGUAUAUAAGAUGGACGCCGUGGUUCCGCCUUCCGCCUGUAUACGGAUUUGAAGCCAAAAAGCUCUCGGUAAUUCCGGGUUCCUUGCAACCAGAGCUGCGCAGUAGCGUUGUACGCAGACGUUUUUGGCUGGACGGGAGACUCGGCGCGAUGACGUUCCGCUCAAAAAGUGCCCCCCCCCGGAUGUCCUUCCAGCCUUACAUCGGUAUCGCUAAUAGCUUCCCCGCUCGUCGCGACCAAGAAUAAGUAAGUUCCACUUCUCCUGAUAUAAUAUGAAAUUUGUGAGCGUACUAACUUUUAAGAACAUAAAAUACCAUCAUAACUAAUACGAAUAAAGAUAUCAUCUAUUACUUGAUUGGAAGUAAGUCAUCUCUCUUUGUUGAAAGAAACGGUGUAAAUGUAAGCUAAAGUAGCAUUGCAAUUUAACACUAGCCUUGGUAAAUUAAUCAGCAAAAUACGUGAUAUUUUUAGUUUAUCAGUUGUUAAGAUAUAUGCUAUUGUCCUGUGAUUAAAAAUGAACAAAAUUCUGAAUGAACAGCAAAUAUUUAUGUUGUUCUCCUUUUUUUAGACAAAGAGAAAAGAAGCUUCAAAGAUGAGCACAACAUCAGCCACUGUGACCAGAAGUAAGGAUAAAAAUUCAUUGAGAUGGAUGCUGAUUUAGUUGGAUAUGAUUUUAGUCAGACUUUUAUUAGGUAAUGUUAUAAAUAUUUUUUUUUGUGAUGUAACAACAGCAAGCUCAAGUUUUCAAUUCCAAAUGAUAUCUACUGUAAAAAAUAUUAAACAGCUUGUGAUUCAGCAUGAUGUGGAAUCAUGCUGAAUCACAAGCCAUGCAAGGUUUUGUAGGAAAAUGACUUUUUUUUUUUCUUUUAUUGUUCAAUACAUUUACAGAAAUUAAACAGCAGGACCUCCAGGAUCUCCAUCGGCAGUUCCCCACCGUGAGGAUCAUCUUCUCUGCCAUCACUCAGAGGAACCGAUGGAGAUACAGCCCCAAGAAAAUGGACAAAGCCAGGCGCUAUGUGAACAGUGUGAUGGCUACUUUUGUUUCAUCUGUUGGAGGAAGCAUUGUGCAUCAUCCUCAAAUAAAGCACAGAGAUCAGGGCCUUAUUUUAAACUAAUGGAGUUCAUUUCACCACUUUGGGUAAUGACAUUUUUUUAAAUAAUAGUGCCUUGUGUUUGAAAGACCAAAUCUAGUAGGGUGGUGCUAGAUUUGGGAUUUCACCUACAAUAGGCAGCAAAAAAUGGUCAGGAUUUAUCUGCUUUAUUUGUGAUUGAUGUGCACAUUUUGUUUAAUUGUUUACACAAGCACAAUUUUGUGAAUUUUGUUUUACAAAGGUAACCAUCACACUGUUCAAUUCUGUCACAGCUCUUCCUCCUUCUCUCUCUCUCUCUGUCUUACAAACCUUCUGCC